GUGAACGAACUCAGGAAGCUGAGGGAGGAAGAUUAGAUACAAGCACAAGAUUUCUAUGGGAGAAGGACCAGCGAACAUCCGUCAGGGCGAUGCUCUCCUUCAUCUUCUGUGGGGUGACAGAACUUUCACUGGACUGCAGCUCAUGCCUCUGCUGGUCGUGGCCAUUCUGGUGCAGAUAGCCACCGUCCAGGGGGUGCGCUCCCAACGCCGGCUGUAGCGCAUUUACUCCCGGGUUGCAGGG
Molecule: long non-coding RNA, 241 nt
Organism: Brienomyrus brachyistius
Lineage: Eukaryota; Metazoa; Chordata; Actinopteri; Osteoglossiformes; Mormyridae
Exons: 3
Source: RefSeq, a predicted model, not a curated record